UUUGAUAUGGGGAGGAUAAGAUCUAAGAUGGAGUUCAAAGAAUAAAGUAAAAGCCUUGCUCUAACACUAGUUGGAUCAGCAAACACGGUUUGGUUUAUCAAACCAAAUACUAGUUAGAGCAAGUAAGAAAUUGAUGUGGGGAGGAUACGAUCUGAGAUUGAGUUCAGAGAAUGAAGCAGAAGCCUUGCUCUUACACUAGUUGGAUCAGAAAAAAUGGCUUGAUAAACCAAACCAAGUACUAGUUAGAGGAAGUAAGAGUUUGAUAUGGGGAGGAUAACAUCUAAGAUGGAGUUCAGAGAAUGAAGCAAAACCUUGUUCUCACACUUGUACGAUCAGAAAACAAAGUUUGGUUUAUCAAACCAUGUACUAGUUAGAGCAAGUAAGAGUUUGAUUUGGGGAGGGUAAGAUCUAAGAUGGAGUUCAGAGAAAUGAAACAGAAGCCUUGCUCUUACACUAGUUGGAUCACAAAACAUUGUCUGGUUUAUCAAAUCAAGUGCUAGUUGAAACAAAUGAGAGUUUGACAUUGGGAGAAUAAGAUCUGAGAUGGAUUUCAAAGAAUGAAGUAAAAGCCUUGCAUUUACACUAGUUGGAUCAAGAAACAAGGUUUUGGUUAAUCAAAUCAAGUACUAGUUAGAGCAAGUAAGAGUUUGAUAUGGGGAGGAUAAGAUCUAAGAUGGAUUUCAAAGAUUGAAGUAAAUUCCUGCUCUUACACUAGUUGGAUCACGAAACAUGGUUUGGUUUAUCAAAUCAAGUACUAGUUAGAGCAAGUAAGAGUUUGACAUCGGGAGGAUAAGAUCAUAGAUGGAGUUCAUAGAAUGAAGCAAAAGCCUUGCUCUUACACUAGUUGGAUCAGAAAAAAGGUUUGAUAAACCAAACCAUGUACUAGUUAGAGGAAGUACGAGUUUGAUAUGGGGAGGAUAAGAUCGAAGAUUGCAUGAGUUCAUAGAAUGAAGCAAAACCUUGGUCUAGCACUGGUUGGAUCAGGAAACAUGGUUUGGUUUAUCAAAUUAAGUACUAGUCAGAGCAAGUAAGAGUUUGAUAUGGGGAGGAUAAGAUCUAAGAUGGAGUUCAAAGAAUGAAGUAAAAAUCUUGCUCUUACACUAGUUGGAUCGUGAAACAAGGUUUGGUUUUUUAAACCAAGUACUAGUUCCAAUUAAGAGCGUAUAUGGGGAGGAUAAGAUCUAAGAUGGAGUUAAAAAAAUAGAGCAGAAGUCUUGCUCUUACACUAGUUGGAUCACAAAAAAGUUUGAUAAACCAAACCAAGUACUAGUUGAAGGAAGUAAUAGUUUGAUAUGGGGCGGAUAAGAUCUAAGAUGGAGUUCAAAGAAUGAAGUAAAAGCCUUGCACUUACAUUAGUUGGAUCAAGAAACAGGGUUUGGUUUAUCAAACCAAGUAUUAGUUAGAGCAAGUAAGAGUUUGACAUGGGGAGGAUAAGAUCUAAGAUGGAGUUCAGAUAGAAGCAAAACCUUACUCUUACACUAGUUGGAUCAGAAAACAUUGUUUGGUUUAUCAAACCAAGUACUAGUUAGAUUAAGUAAGAGUUUGAUAUGAGGAGGAUAAGAUCUAAGAUGGAGUUCAGAGAAUGAAGCAAAACUGUAUUUACACUAGUUGGAUCAGAAAAAAAGGUUUGAUAAACCAAACCAAGUACUAGUUAGAGGAAGUAAGAGUUUGAUAUGAGGAAGAUAAGAUCUAAGAUGGAGUUCAGAUGGAAGCAAAACCUUGCUCUUACACUAGUUGUAUCAAGAAACAAAAUUUGGUUUAUCAAACCAAGUACUAGUUAGAGCAAGUUAGAGUUUGAUAUGAGGAGGAUAAGAUCUAAGAUGGAGUUCAGAGAAUGAAGCAAAACCUUGCUCUCACACUAGUUCGAUCAGAAAACAAGAUUUGAUCAACGAAACAAAAUACUAGUUUGAGCAAGUACGAAAUUGAUGUGGGGAGGAUAAGAUCUAAGAUUGAGUUCAGAUAAUGAAGCAGAAGCCCUGCUCUUUCACUAGUUGUAUCAGCAAACAUGGUUUGGUUUUAUCAAGCAGAGUACUUGUAAGAGGAAGUAAGAGUUUGAUAUGGGGAGGAUAAGAUCUAAGAUGGAUUUCAAAGAUUGAAGUAAAAUCCUUGCUCUUACACUAGUUGUAUCAGCAAACAUGGUUUGGUUUAUCAAACAAAAUACUAGUUAGAGCAAGUAAGAGUUUGAUAUGGGGAAGAUAAGAUCGGAGAUGGAGUUCAGAGAAUGAAACAGAAGCCUUGCUCUUACACUAGUUGGAUCGCGAAACAUGGUUUGGUUUAUCAAACCAAGUACUAGUAAGAGUAAGUAAGAGUUUGAUAUUUGGAGGAUAAGAUCUAAGAUGGAGUUCAAAGCAUGAAGUAAAAAUCUUGCUCUUACACUAGUUGGAUCGUGAAACAAGGUUUGAUUUAUCAAACUAAGUACUAGUUCGAGCAAGUAAGAGCGUAUAUGGGAAGGAUAACAUCUAAGAUGGAGUUCAAAAAAUAGAGCAGAAGUCUUGUUCUUACACUAGUUGGAUCACAAAAAAGUUUGAUAAACCAAACCAAGUACUAGUUGAAGGAAGUAAUAGUUUGAUAUGGGGAGGAUAAGAUCUAAGAUGGAGUUCAAAGAAUGAAGUAAAAGCCUUGCUCUUACACUAGUUGGAUCAGCAAACAUGGUUUUGUUUAUCAAGCCAAGUACUAGUUAGAGCAAGUAAGAGUUUGACAUGGGGAGGAUAAGAUCUAAGAUGGAGUUCAAAGAAUGAAGUAGAAGCCUUGCUCUUACACUAGUUGGAUCAGAAAAAAAGGUUUGAUGAACCAAACCAAGUACUGGGUAGAGGAAGUAAGAGUUUGACAUGGGGAGGAUAAGAUCUAAGAUGGAGUUCAAAGAAUAAAGUAAAAGCCUUGCUCUUACACUAGUUGGAUCAGAAAAAAAGGUUUGAUGAACCAAACCAAGUACUAGUUAGAGGAAGUACGAGUUUGAUAUGGGGAGGACAAGAUCUAAGAUUGAGUUCAUAGAAUGAAGCAAAACCUUGCUCUAACACUAGUUGGAUCAGGAAACAAGGUUUGGUUUAUCAAACAAAUUACUAGUUUGAGCAAGAAAGAGUUUGAUAUGGGGAGGAUAAGAUCUAAGAUGGAGUUCAACAAUGAAACAGAAGCCUUGCUCUUACACUAGUUGGAUCAGGAAACCCGGUUUGGUUCAUCAAAUCAAGUACUAGUUUGAGCAUGUAAGAGCUGAUAUGGGGAGGAUAAGAUCUAAGAUGGAGUUCAAAAAAUAGUGCAGAAGUCUUGCUCUUACACUAGUUGGAUCAGAAAAAUGGUUUGAUAAACCAAACCAAGUACUAGUUAGAGCAAGUAAGAGUUUAAUAUGGGGAGGAUAAGAUCUAAGAUGGAGUUCAGAGAAUGAAGUAAAAGCCUUGCUCUUACACUAGUUGGAUCAGGAAACAAGGUUUGAUAAACCAAACCAAGUACUAGUUAGAGCAAGUAAUAGUUUGAUAUGGGGAGGAUAAGAUCUAAGAUGGAGUUCAAAGAAUGAAGCAGAAGCCUUGCUCUUACACUAGUUGGAUCAGCAAACAUGGUUUGGUUGAUCAAAUCAAGUACUAGUUAGAGCAAGUAAGAGUUUGAUAUGGGGAGGAUCAGAUCUAAGAUUGAGUUCAAAGAAUGAAGUAAAAAACUUGCUCUUACACCAGUUGGAUCAUGAAACAAGGUUUGAUUUAUCAAACUUAGUACUAGUUCGAGCAAGUAAGAGCGUAUAUGGGGAGGAUAACAUCUAAGAUGGAGUUCAAAAAAUAGAGCAGAAGUCUUGCUCUUACACUAGUUGGAUCACAAAAAAGUUUGAGAAACCAAACCAAGUACUAGUUAGAGGAAGUAAGAGUUUGAUAUGGGGAGGAUAAGAUCUAAGAUGGAGUUCAAAGAAUAAAGUAAAAGCCUUGCUCUUACACUAGUUGGAUCAG
This is a long non-coding RNA of Patiria miniata (bat star), 3926 nucleotides long. RefSeq lists it as uncharacterized. The transcript is spliced from 2 exons. The record is from RefSeq and is a predicted model, not a curated record. NCBI's taxonomy places the organism in Eukaryota, Metazoa, Echinodermata, Asteroidea, Valvatida, Asterinidae.